AAACAGGGGAUCAUAUCCUUAUCCUUGUGCCAGACCUUUUGUUUUCGUUACCUAAACCUAAAUCCAGACCAACCUGUUAUAUUAUCCUCUUCUCCUACUUGUCUCUGGUUAUCGUUGUCUUUCACAUGAAUCACUGAUAUAAAAGAAUACUCUGAGUCAGAAGAAAGCUUAAAGCAGUGAAAUUGAUUGCAAUUACAAAUGCAAAUGCCUCCUACAGCCUCAUCGUCUUUCACCUGUCCCUUGCCACUUUCCUCUCCUUCUUUUGUAACUUCUUCUACUCCCCCUUCUGUUUGCUGUCUAGCCAAAUUCACUACCACUUAUAAUUGCAAACGACUCUUAUUGCCCUUUUCCUCACGCCUCAAAUUCCAUACUCCCUCUAAUCAACCCACCCUCAUGAUACGAGCUACCGUUUCCAUCGAGAAGGAAACGCCGGAGACCCAGCGGCCGAAUACAUUUCUCCGGGAAUCUGAAGGUGGAGACGUGCGAGCCCGCUUCGAGAAGAUGAUAAGGGACGCCCAGGAUAGUGUGUGCGAGGCCAUUGAGGCAGUCGAUGAAGCGGGUAAGUUCAAGGAGGACGUCUGGUCCAGACCAGGAGGUGGGGGAGGCAUCAGCAGAGUCUUGCAAGAUGGCGCCGUUUGGGAGAAGGCUGGAGUCAAUGUGUCGGUUGUCUACGGAGUCAUGCCCCCGGAAGCUUAUAGGGCUGCCAAAGCUGCUUCUGCCGAUCAUAAGCCUGGACCCAUCCCAUUUUUUGCUGCUGGGAUCAGCUCUGUGUUGCAUCCAAAGAACCCAUUCGCACCAACAUUGCAUUUUAAUUAUCGUUAUUUCGAGACCGAUGCUCCCAAAGACGUCCCUGGAGCACCUAGGCAAUGGUGGUUUGGUGGUGGGACUGAUUUGACUCCUGCUUACAUCUUUGAGGAGGAUGUGAAGCAUUUCCAUUCAAUUCAAAAAAAAGCCUGUGAUAAAUUUGACCCAACUUUUAUCCCCGGUUCAAAAAGUGGUGUGAUGACUAUUUCUAUAUUAAGCAUCGAGGUGAGAGGCGAGGACUUGGAGGAAUAUUUUUUGAUGAUCUAAAUGACUAUGAUCAAGAUAUGCUUCUUUCCUUUGC
This 1105-nucleotide unclassified non-coding RNA is filed under the name Hevea brasiliensis (rubber tree). Lineage: Eukaryota; Viridiplantae; Streptophyta; Magnoliopsida; Malpighiales; Euphorbiaceae. The record is from RNAcentral.